AUGAAUUGGUAAAACGUCACUGAUCCAACGGUGACGACUACUUUAAUAAAGAAUGUGGUUUUUAUUUAUUUCGAAAUGAUGUAUAUUCCUUUGUUAAGGUGUCUUGUUGAAGGUUUCUUUGUAAAUGAAUAUAAAAAAAUGAAAAGAAGUAACGGUGUGGGUGAAAGAAUGAACGUUCAAUACCUGCUGGUUAACUUUGCAAGAGAAACAGAGGUCGAUGACGAAGUGUUCUUGGAAUUUUGUAAAGCUUUUUUAUAUACGUUUUGAAAGAACCGGUUUCUUUAUUCGAUAAGAAUUUUAUUAGUAAACUGAUAAGAUAGUUUCGAGAAUUCCUUGAAAAUUAUUAAUUAAUCAAUUUUAAAUUGAAGUAGUUAUAAAACAAUACACAUAUACAUACUUGCUGAUUUAUCAAAAACAAUUUUUUAAUUUACAUUUUAAUAAGUUACUCUUUGUUGUAUCGAGUUACCUAUUUAGUAAGAUAAAGAAUACAAUAAACAAUAACGAACACACAAUAGGUAAAUGAAUAAAUUAAAAGUGGCUUAAACCAGUUUUAAAAUUUCUUUGUCAAUAUAUGUUAAGGAAUCGUUAAAAACAUCUCAAUAACAAUUAAUGCUUGGAAAUAAAUGACCUCCACACAGUCGUUA
Molecule: long non-coding RNA, 644 nt
Organism: Onthophagus taurus
Lineage: Eukaryota; Metazoa; Arthropoda; Insecta; Coleoptera; Scarabaeidae
Source: RefSeq, a predicted model, not a curated record